RNAcentral lists this ribosomal RNA (407 nucleotides) under uncultured bacterium. RNAcentral describes it as "partial 16S ribosomal RNA". It matches the Rfam family "Bacterial small subunit ribosomal RNA", at positions 30 to 526 of the family's 1533-position model. The record is from RNAcentral.
AUUGAACGCUGGCGGCAGGCCUAACACAUGCAAGUCGAGCGGAGCGGCGGACGGGUGAUUAAUGCCUAGGAAUCUGCCUGGUAGUGGGGGAUAACGUCCGGAAACGGGCGCUAAUAUCGCAUACUAUCAGAUGAGCCGAGGUCGGAUUAGCUAGUGGGUGGGGUAAAGGCCUACCAAUGCGUGGAUCCGUAACUGGUCUGAGAGGAUGAUCAGUCACACAGGAAAUGAGGCACGGUCCAAUAUACUACGGGAGGCCGCAGUUGGGAAGAUUGUAGAAUGGGCGAAAGCCUGAUCCAGUCCUGCCGCGUGUGUGAAGAAUGUCUUCAGAUUGUGAAGCACUUUAAGUUGGAAGGCGUUCCCAACAGCAUGAGCACCGGCUAACUUCAUGCCAGCAGCCGCGGUAAUAC